This 845-nucleotide long non-coding RNA is filed under the name Lupinus angustifolius (narrow-leaved blue lupine). RNAcentral describes it as "long non-coding RNA (LANG_LNC002890)". The record is from RNAcentral. Lineage: Eukaryota; Viridiplantae; Streptophyta; Magnoliopsida; Fabales; Fabaceae.
CUUGCUCCAGAACCCAGUUUAAGCAUAAUAAUUCAACCUUGUUUUCUUCUUCGCUUGGACUUGAAUAAUACCUUCAUGAAAGUCCUAAUAGUUCCACCUGGGAAAAAUCAAUCAUUGUCCCCCAAUAUCAGCAUACAAAUAUAAGACACAAUUUUUUCCUGAUCAAAAGCAUUAGCAUUAGAUUGAACUAGCAAAUGAAAGAAGAAGCAUAGACUCUAUGUUUCUGUCUAACGAUCUGUAUGUGAGGUUGGCAAGGUUUAUAGGAAUGGUUACGUAGGGCUCCUUUUUACAUCAACAAUUGUAUCUGUUUUCUCUGUUGGAAGUAUUGUUCAUACUUCCUGGUUAAUUGAAGUUUUUAGUUAUGCAAAAGAAAAAGCUCCAAACAAAAGUGUCAAUACAGUAGCAAGAGUUAAUGAAAAUGGCAUUUCAAUCACCUGUAUUCUAAACAAAAAUCCAAUAUAUUUGGUGCCUGCUUCUAACUCCAAUUAAUCAUUAUUUAAGUUGUUGAAAAUAAAAGUGAAAGCGUGUUAUAACACCAAUUCCACAAUCAUAGGUUUUAAGAAAUAAAUUAAUUAUUGUUUUCACCCAAAGAGGGUGAACAUUUUUGGAGCAUAUAUUUUACAAUAGAAAAUAUGCAUAUAUAGAGAAAAAUUGAAGACAAACCUUUGUCCCAUAGUCACAAGUCACGACUAUAACAAUCAAGGUGGUUGAGGAGUUCUAACAUUGUUCCUUAUACCUCCCACACCACACUCCAUCAAAUAACCCACAAAUCUUAUCACCACUUGGUUCAUUGCUUUCGCCACAAAUAAAGAUAAGGGUUACUUGUCUUUAAUGUUCUUCUAUUU